This 689-nucleotide ribosomal RNA is filed under the name Listeria monocytogenes. RNAcentral describes it as "partial 23S ribosomal RNA". It matches the Rfam family "Bacterial large subunit ribosomal RNA", at positions 1141 to 1827 of the family's 2925-position model. Lineage: Bacteria; Bacillati; Bacillota; Bacilli; Caryophanales; Listeriaceae. The record is from RNAcentral.
CUCACUGGUCGAGUGACCCCGCGCCGAAAAUGUACCGGGGCUAAACAUAUUACCGAAACUGUGGAUGAACCUCUUUAGAGGUUCGUGGUAGGAGAGCGUUCUAAGGGCGGUGAAGUCAGACCGGAAGGACUGGUGGAGCGCUUAGAAGUGAGAAUGCCGGUAUGAGUAGCGAAAGAAGGGUGAGAAUCCCUUCCACCGAAUAUCUAAGGUUUCCUGAGGAAGGCUCGUCCGCUCAGGGUUAGUCGGGACCUAAGCCGAGGCCGAUAGGCGUAGGCGAUGGACAACAGGUAGAGAUUCCUGUACCAGUGCUAAUUGUUUAACCGAUGGGGUGACACAGAAGGAUAGGGAAUCGCACGAAUGGAAAUGUGCGUCCAAGCAGUGAGUGUGAGAAGUAGGCAAAUCCGCUUCUCGCGAAGCAUGAGCUGUGAUGGGGAAGGAAAUUAAGUACGGAAGUUCCUGAUUUCACGCUGUCAAGAAAAGCCUCUAGGAAGAGUAGUACUGCCCGUACCGCAAACCGACACAGGUAGAUGAGGAGAGAAUCCUAAGGUGAGCGAGAGAACUCUCGUUAAGGAACUCGGCAAAAUGACCCCGUAACUUCGGGAGAAGGGGUGCUCUAUUAGGGUGCAAGCCCGAGAGAGCCGCAGUGAAUAGGCCCAGGCGACUGUUUAGCAAAAACACAGGUCUCUGCA